CCUACGGGGGGCUGCAGUGGGGAAUAUUGGACAAUGGGGGCAACCCUGAUCCAGCCAUGCCGCGUGUGUGAAGAAGGCCCUCGGGUUGUAAAGCACUUUCAGUGAGGAAGAACGCCUGGUGGUUAAUACCCAUCAGGAAAGACAUCACUCACAGAAGAAGCACCGGCUAACUCCGUGCCAGCAGCCGCGGUAAUACGGAGGGUGCGAGCGUUAAUCGGAAUUACUGGGCGUAAAGCGCGCGUAGGUGGCUUGAUAAGCCGGUUGUGAAAGCCCCGGGCACAACCUGGGAACGGCAUCCGGAACUGUCAAGCUAGAGUGCAGGAGAGGAAGGUAGAAUUCCCGGUGUAGCGGUGAAAUGCGUAGAGAUCGGGAGGAAUACCAGUGGCGAAGGCGGCCUUCUGGACUGACACUGACACUGAGGUGCGAAAGCGUGGGUAGCAAACAGGAUUAGAUACCCGAGUAGUC
RNAcentral lists this ribosomal RNA (465 nucleotides) under Vreelandella stevensii. RNAcentral's name for it is "partial 16S ribosomal RNA". It matches the Rfam family "Bacterial small subunit ribosomal RNA", at positions 338 to 795 of the family's 1533-position model. Lineage: Bacteria; Pseudomonadati; Pseudomonadota; Gammaproteobacteria; Oceanospirillales; Halomonadaceae. The record is from RNAcentral.